UAAGUUGGCCAAGUCCAGAGGCAGGGUUCAAGCAGUUCUGUACCCUGAUAUUAAGAAAAGAUGAUUUGAAGAAGACGAUAUUUCGAUAUUGAAUUGUUCUACACUUGCAGGUAAGGUCACAACUCUCUGUGUCUACCCAUAUUGUGUGUGUGUGUGUAUAUAUAUACAUCAGAAACAGAUGCUUAAAAGCUUUAAAAUCUAGAUAUUCGAGUUGUCUGAAUCUAGUUUCUAUUAUAUUUUCAAAGAGAACAACUACAAAAUGGAAAAAUGUGAGAAUUCAAGAAGCCAUGUACAAUAUUAUGGGAGUAACUGAUCCAAAUCUUGUUCCACCACCAUUUACAAUUUGAUCAAGUUCACCAAGCUAUAAAUAAAUAACAAAGUAAUGAAAACAAAGAAGAAAGUCAUCUCACAGUAUAAUCUCUGUUCGACUUUAUUCAACCGCUACACACACAUGAAUAAUCAUAGGGAGAAUGGUUUUGUAUACACAUCAAAUGGCUGGCAGGCUGUCAAUUGUGGCUCCUGUUACCAAACAAAUAAACAGAAGAACAUUUAAGUUGAUGAUCAUUAACUCUGCUUUUAUGAACAAAAUUUCAAAACUACAAAGAAAUUUGAAUCUGCUCGUGCAGAUUCCAUGAGCUUGUCAUAAAAAACUAUGGUACAAUACACACUCCUGUCUUCAAGUAUUGGACAUGAAAAAUGUUUUUGCAUAUCCCAAAUAAUUCUGGAGGUCACCUUACUGGUCAAAAACAACCAAAACCCAUAACCCCCCACCCCUCCUUAUUAGCAUCCAAUGAUCAAGGAAACACCAUAUCCUCAUUUAAAUCCUUGGCAGACAUGUAACCACCUAUUUUUGGCCCCUUGUUCUUUAGAUACUUUCAACUCCAAGCAAAUUACUCCUUUGUACUCAGACCUCGUUUAAUGUUUGCAGCUAAAUGCCUAGUAUUUUGGGCAUCAAAAAAGCAAUUUUAGGAGUGUUUUAGCCACUCAAAGCUGCUUUCUUACCACACCAACACAAAAUGGGUCUGGAGAAGUGCAUUUUUCUUUUUGGGCAAAGCUUGAAACUUGAGUUCAAUUUCUUUUGCACUGGAUGUUAGAGCACUUAAAGGGUUUCUCUCAACAGAAUAUAUGCCUGAAAAACUUCUCAAAUGAAGAUUUUUCCAGGAAAACAUGUUAUUCCUAUUACUCCAUCCAUUGCAAUCAAAGAAGAGUCCUAACCCAAAUGCUUGCCAAUUAUAGUACAGAAUAUCUGCCCAAACCAACAGGAUUAGUUUCAAUUGAGGAUAAGAGGACACCAGAGUCAGCAUUGACUCUCCCACAGAACAGAACUGUUUUGUGGUUCAUCAUGAUGGUUGAACACCCAUCACAAUAAUUAUGUCCCUAUUACAAUAUGCACACAGAAUUUUUUAAAACCUUAAAAGGCCCUCUUCGUUUCCUUCUCUGUCUAAUUUCACAAGCAGGUGCAGCUCUGAUCAACAAAGAAGUCCUCUGUGGCUUAAAUUUUCUGAUUAUCCAGAUUCCAUGAAGAUCCAAAGCUAGGACUCUGAUGGGAAAAAAAAUAGUUUCCGCAUUUAUUCUUUGAAGAAUGCUAUCAUGAUUUUUUCUUCAUUUAUUUGUCUUUUGAGAUCUUCUCAUUUAGAGAUGACAUAGAAAGACUUUGUACUUAACAUUAGCUUGUUGAUGAUUUGUUGAAAAAUUAUAAACAUUGAAGUGCAUCUAAUUUAUUAGUCUUGAAAGAAUUCAGGAAAUGAUGGUAAAUGUAGAUUCCACAGGGCUUUUUGAUAUAUGUAGAUCAUUGGACGCAUCAGGAAAUCCCUUUACUGAACUUCUGAUGAAAAAGCCUUUUUUAUUGUUCUCUAUUUUUGGAGUUUCAGUUUUUAUUAGGAAUAGUAAAUGUAGACAGCUUCCCAUGGAUCUUUAAUACAAGGUAGAUCAUUCAAGUUAUUCAACAUAAAGAGAAUUUCUUUGUUGGAUAGUAUUGGAUGUAUCAUAUCCAUAUUGUCUAGUAGGAUCAUAAGCUACAAUAGCAGCAUGACAUUUUAGAACAGAUCGCGUGUAAUAUAUGUAGUGUUAUAGGUAUUCUUCAAGUUCACUGUGGUCUUAAUUUUUAUGGUUUUUGUAUGACAUUUUUUGUGGGAUUUUAUUUUAUUUAUUAAUUUUGUUCUACUCUUUGCAUAUCUUUCAUUUUACCUAAAACCCAAUUGUACUAUCGAUGCCAAGCUGACCAAUAUUGAAAUGAAACAUGGUCUGAAUCCAACAUUUUUAACUGUGUUCUUAAUUUUUUAAAAUUUUCAAUACCCUUCUUGAAUUUUAGCAAUGCUAAUCUAUAUUUAAGCUUUGAUAGGAACCUAGUUAUAGCACCAAUUCCAAUUUAACUAAUACCAAAUAAAACCUAGUCUGAAGCACAGUAUCUCCCAAAGCCCAAUAGAAGCAUCUUAUGGGCAGUACUUUUCACAAAAGUACUUCAUUAGGAGGUCCAAUCAUGCCUAUUGAUGCAGGAAACUUAGACUUCAAGCACUACAAAGCUUCUUGAGUUGAAAUGAAAGGGCUAAAGAUGGAUGAAAAGAAGAAAAGAAAUCCUUGGCAAUCACGCCAAGGUUCCUAAGUAAUCAUACCUAGAAAGAAGCAAUCACAAAUUCAAUGGAAGUAUAAUAGAUGGUGAGAACUUUUAUUAAAAGUUUGGUCAUAUCCUUUGAAAGACUAUAUAAGGUAUGUGUAGGCCCUUAUGCCUCUCUUCCCUAACAGGACUACUUUCAUAAUUCCUUAUCUGAAUAGAAUUAAAUAAAGGAAUGUUAUUUCGGAACUAGAAGAAAUAAGGACUUUUCUACUAUAACAAGAAGAUUACAAGAAAUAGAAACUCAAUAAGAAGGUAAACCACUACCUAGAAUAGAAACUUAACAAAAGAUUCAACUUAAACUAACUACAGUAAGCCUCAAGAAGAACUUAAGUCAUCAUUGGUGCCCCAAAUUAAUGCUUGUGCAUUGGAACUGACCUUCCCCUUUUCUUGUAAGUCUUCAAAGAAUCUUUUCAAUAAUAUUUCCUAUCAUAUACAGGAUGAAUAUCCCUCACAUUGUCAUCAAUUGAUGCCACCUCUAUCAAAGCAUUUUAGUUUCAUCAAGUCAACUUAACAAAUUCUCUCAAACAACAAUAAGUGAAGGAAAUAAGAUAAUGGCGUAUUAGACAUGAUUUAGACCUUUCUGGUCAUUUUCAGCAUAAAUGAUGUGUAAGCAAUCCAUAUCCAGCACCCCUUAUCUAAAGCUGGGUAAUCCCCAGUUACCCAUUUUACACAAAGGACAAGGUUUUUUUUUUUUAAUCCAUAUUUUAUUUUAUUUUAUGUUCAGCAUGGUUCUCUAUCAAAAGGGCUGAAGGAACUGUAAAUCUGGGGAUCCUGAGAUGAUUUUAACCCUUUUAUAUGUGUCCUAACAUCAAUUGAUGAGCCAGAUCACAAAGGAUGACAAUAAUGUAAUCACCAUAAGAACCAAUACCUGUCUCAAGCCACCGCUGACACUGCCUCCAGUCAAAAGCAUCGAAAUGAGAGAUGUCACAGCACCACCACCACCACCACCACCAACGCCAUUUCCUGC
This 3581-nucleotide long non-coding RNA is filed under the name Vitis vinifera (wine grape). RNAcentral's name for it is "long non-coding RNA (VVIN_LNC005099)". The record is from RNAcentral. Lineage: Eukaryota; Viridiplantae; Streptophyta; Magnoliopsida; Vitales; Vitaceae.